RNAcentral lists this ribosomal RNA (459 nucleotides) under uncultured bacterium. RNAcentral's name for it is "partial 16S ribosomal RNA". It matches the Rfam family "Bacterial small subunit ribosomal RNA", at positions 338 to 795 of the family's 1533-position model. The record is from RNAcentral.
CCUACGGGUGGCAGCAGUGAGGAAUAUUGGUCAAUGGUCGGGAGACUGAACCAGCCAAGCCGCGUGAGGGAGGAAGGUCCAGAGUAUCGUAAACCUCUUUUGUCAGGGAACAAAGACUGGGACGCGUCCCCGGAUGAGUGUACCUGAAGAAAAAGCAUCGGCUAACUCCGUGCCAGCAGCCGCGGUAAGACGGAGGAUGCGAGGGUUAUCCGGAUUUAUUGGGUUUAAAGGGUGGGCGGGCGGUCUGUUAAGUCAGCGGGAAAAGCCCGGGGCCAAACCCCGGCCCGCCGUUGAAACUGGCAGGCUCGAGUUGGAGAGAAGUAUGCGGAAUGCGCGGUGUAGCGGUGAAAUGCAUAGAUAGCGCGCAGAACUCCGAUUGCGAAGGCAGCAUGCCGGCUCCACACUGACGCUGAGGCACGAAAGCGUGGGUAUCGAACAGGAGUAGAUACCCCGGUAGUC